GCGGAUGUAGCUCAAUGGUAGAGCCCCAGUCUUCCAAACUGGCUACGCGGGUUCGAUUCCCGUCAUCCGCUCCAUUU
Molecule: transfer RNA, 77 nt
Filed under: Cutibacterium acnes KPA171202
Lineage: Bacteria; Bacillati; Actinomycetota; Actinomycetes; Propionibacteriales; Propionibacteriaceae
Description: tRNA-Gly
Rfam family: tRNA
About the family: Transfer RNA (tRNA) molecules are approximately 80 nucleotides in length. Their secondary structure includes four short double-helical elements and three loops (D, anti-codon, and T loops).
Source: RNAcentral